UACGGGGGGAGCAAGCGUUGUUCGGAUUUACUGGGCGUAAAGGGCGCGUAGGCGGCCACCGCAAGUCGGUUGUGAAAUCUCUGGGCUUAACCCAGAAAGGUCAACCGAUACUGCGGGGCUAGAGUGCAGAAGGGGCAACUGGAAUUCUCGGUGUAGCGGUGAAAUGCGUAGAUAUCAGGAGGAACACCGGUGGCGAAGGCGGGUCUCUGGGCAGUAACUGACGCUGAGGAGCGAAAGCGUAGGGAGCGAACAGG
RNAcentral lists this ribosomal RNA (254 nucleotides) under uncultured bacterium. Its description in RNAcentral is "partial 16S ribosomal RNA". It matches the Rfam family "Bacterial small subunit ribosomal RNA", at positions 524 to 776 of the family's 1533-position model. The record is from RNAcentral.